RNAcentral lists this long non-coding RNA (1096 nucleotides) under Oryctolagus cuniculus (rabbit). RNAcentral's name for it is "lncRNA (ENSOCUG00000030639.1)". Lineage: Eukaryota; Metazoa; Chordata; Mammalia; Lagomorpha; Leporidae. The record is from RNAcentral.
GGGCAGAUUUGCUCCAUAAGCAGGAGGUGACCAGGCUCAGAACUGCUGGGUAUGGACAGUCCCCUGCCUCUGUGGGGCCAGGGACGCCUCCUGCCUCACGAGCGGCUCAGCCACUGUGGCUCGCGUCAGACUCCCUGUGACGGGGACAGCUGGGAAACCUGAGCCCCUCAGGGGAGGGGGCCUCGAAGGCGGGAGGCGUUCAGCAACUCCCUCUCCCCUCCAAAUCAGGAGCUGACUCACCCCGGGGCUCGGGGCUUCCGUCCAGUGGUGAGGCCGCUGCAGCCCACAGUGCGGCCCCUGGGCUCGCCUCCCAGCCCUGCCCCUGCCCAAGGCUGGGCUCCUGUUCCGCGUCCAGCCGUCAGGCACCGAGUUCCCAGCUCCUGGCUUUGGCCCCAGCCCUGGGCCAUUGCAGGCGUUUGGGGAGGGAACCAGGGGAUGCGACAUCUCUCUCUGGCUGUCUCCCUCUAGUGCUCUGCCUCCCAGAUAAAUGGAAAAGUGGAAUUAAAAAAAAGGCCCAUGGCGGUGUGGAGACAACCCCUUCCUGUCGGGAUGUGUGUGCCAGAGCGGAGUCUCCUCUGGACAAAUGGGAGCCGUAUUUCUGCUUCUCACCACAACGGCGAAACACGCAAGGGCCACGGCCAAGUGCCCUCGGUUCCCGGGAAAACGGCCUAGGAGGGAGGUUGGAGCUCACGGGCAGCAGGGGGCGUCCAGAGGACAAGGGUGCAGCUGGGGCCUGUGGGUGGAGGGGCAGUGAGGACAUUGGGGGCGGGGCAUGCACAAGGGUGUCCAUGAUGCCAGGAAGCGCCCUGAGCUCAGGGGAGCGGUUUCUCAGUGUGGGACAGGGAGACACAGAUGUGGAAGGGAGACUGGGGCUGACUCUGGGUCGCUGGUGCAGUCACAGCCUCCACACAGACACUGGAUGCCAGGGACGCGGACAUGGGUGGAAGACAGGUGACAGGGAGGCGGCUGCAUAGGGAGUCCACUCACCUGUCUGUAUGAUACAUUCACGCAUCUGACCUCUGGCUCCUCACUGCAGGGGAGACCCCGUGCCCUGGAGCCCCACAUCCUGACAUUCUCCACUCGGGAGACUCCUGGC